Molecule: ribosomal RNA, 460 nt
Filed under: uncultured bacterium
Lineage: Bacteria
Description: partial 16S ribosomal RNA
Rfam family: Bacterial small subunit ribosomal RNA
Source: RNAcentral
CCUACGGGGGGCAGCAGUGAGGAAUAUUGGUCAAUGGACGAGAGUCUGAACCAGCCAAGUAGCGUGAAGGAUGACUGCCCUAUGGGUUGUAAACUUCUUUUAUAUGGGAAUAAAAUGUUCCACGUGUGGGAUUUUGUAUGUACCAUAUGAAUAAGGAUCGGCUUACUCCGUGCCAGCAGCCGCGGUAAUACGGAGGAUCCGAGCGUUAUCCGGAUUUAUUGGGUUUAAAGGGAGCGUAGGUGGAUUGUUAAGUCAGUUGUGAAAGUUUGCGGCUCAACCGUAAAAUUGCAGUUGAAACUGGCAGUCUUGAGUACAGUAGAGGUGGGCGGAAUUCGUGGUGUAGCGGUGAAAUGCUUAGAUAUCACGAAGAACUCCGAUUGCGAAGGCAGUUCACUGGACUGCAACUGACACUGAGGCUCGAAAGUGUGGGUAUCAAACAGGAUUAGAUACCCGGGUAGUC